This 253-nucleotide ribosomal RNA is filed under the name uncultured bacterium. RNAcentral's name for it is "partial 16S ribosomal RNA". It matches the Rfam family "Bacterial small subunit ribosomal RNA", at positions 524 to 776 of the family's 1533-position model. The record is from RNAcentral.
GACGAAGGGGGCUAGCGUUGUUCGGAAUUACUGGGCGUAAAGCGCGUGUAGGCGGUUGUUUAAGUCAGGUGUGAAAGCCUUGAGCUCAACUCAAGAAAUGCACUUGAUACUGGAUGACUAGAGGACCGGAGAGGAUAGUGGAAUUCCCAGUGUAGUGGUGAAAUUCGUAGAUAUUCGGAAGAACACCAGUGGCGAAGGCGACUUACUGGACACAUAUUGACGCUGAGGUGCGAAAGCGUGGGGAGCAAACAGG